UAACUGGUGAAAGUCCAGUCUAGGUAAUUGCCAAGAAGCCUAGUAGCUAUAAGACCAAUGUCAGCAGAGAUGGUGGCAUUGAAGCGUCUCGAAAAUGUGCCUUAGUGGUGCUAGCAAAGAUGCAGACCGUAACAUAA
RNAcentral lists this non-coding RNA (137 nucleotides) under Alkaliphilus peptidifermentans DSM 18978. The record is from RNAcentral. Lineage: Bacteria; Bacillati; Bacillota; Clostridia; Peptostreptococcales; Natronincolaceae.